CCUACGGGGGGCAGCAGUGGGGAAUAUUGCACAAUGGGGGAAACCCUGAUGCAGCGACGCCGCGUGAGUGAAGAAGUAUUUCGGUACGUAAAGCUCUAUCAGCAGGGAAGAAAAUGACGGUACCUGACUAAGAAGCCCCGGCCAACUACGUGCCAGCAGCCGCGGUAAUACGUAGGGGGCAAGCGUUAUCCGGAUUUACUGGGUGUAAAGGGAGCGUAGACGGCAGCGCAAGUCUGGAGUGAAAUCCCAUGGCUUAACCAUGGAACUGCUUUGGAAAUUGUGCAGCUAGAGUGCAGGAGAGGUAAGCGGAAUUCCUAGUGUAGCGGUGAAAUGCGUAGAUAUUAGGAGGAACACCAGUGGCGAAGGCGGCUUACUGGACUGUAACUGACGUUGAGGCUCGAAAGCGUGGGGAGCAAACAGGAUUAGAUACCCGUGUAGUC
This 440-nucleotide ribosomal RNA is filed under the name uncultured bacterium. RNAcentral describes it as "partial 16S ribosomal RNA". It matches the Rfam family "Bacterial small subunit ribosomal RNA", at positions 338 to 795 of the family's 1533-position model. The record is from RNAcentral.